CCGCCAUCAGCAAGUACAGCUCCGCCCGGACUCCUACGGGAGCCGGGCUCCACCGCCAUCAGCAAGUGCAGCUCCGCCCGGACUCCUACGGGAGCCGAGCUCCACUGUCGACAUCAGCGCAGCUCCGCCCGGACUCCCACGAGAGCCGGGCUCCGCUCUCGGUAUCAACGGCUGGUAAGCUCAAUCCGGACUCCUAUCAGAGCCGGAUUUCACCCUUN
Molecule: long non-coding RNA, 218 nt
Filed under: Elaeis guineensis (African oil palm)
Lineage: Eukaryota; Viridiplantae; Streptophyta; Magnoliopsida; Arecales; Arecaceae
Description: long non-coding RNA (EGUI_LNC035099)
Source: RNAcentral